This is a long non-coding RNA of Homo sapiens (human), 3019 nucleotides long. Ensembl annotates it as EOLA2 divergent transcript. Its record names the gene EOLA2-DT. The record is from Ensembl. NCBI's taxonomy places the organism in Eukaryota, Metazoa, Chordata, Mammalia, Primates, Hominidae.
AGAGGAGGCGGAGCUGGGAGCGGUGAUGAAGGGGUAGCAGGGCGGGGCAGUGGGAAAGAGCUGUGGGAGGAGGAGCUGGGGGCAAGAGUCCAAACUUUCCCGCGGCGACCUAACUGCACCUCCAGUGUCUUCCCCCAGAGGGCACAGAAGCAGCAAGAAGGGCGGGAACACUUGACUGGGGUCCAUGCAGCUCUAGGCUGAGUCUUGCAGGGCUGAGCCCCCCAGGCCUGCUCUCCUGUGUCCUGGCCGCUCCGUCAGUGCCUGCCAGUGGGGUCCAGAGGGACCGUUUUUUUAACGCCUCUUUUGCAGUCUCCCGCAUUGACUUCAUAACCAAGUUCUGGGUCCCUGCCUCUGGAGUGCCUGAUGAGACAAAACGGCUCCUCGUCCUGCAUCCCCGCUGCUACUUCCAGAAUUCAGGCCUCGUGGUCUGGAGCCUGCACUGUUCCAUGAGCCUCCUGAGCAACCUGGAGUCCUCUGUCUUUCUUCCCUCAGAGACCUCGUCCGCACAGGGGCUUGUUCUUCUGUGUCUUUGCAGGGCUGUUUUGGACUCAGUAUUCACCUAAGCACUCCAAAUUGGACCCCCUGGCCGCUGCAGAUGCAUGCUGAUCCUGCAGCUCCUCGAGGGUGUCAUCGCUUUCCCCCUUCCCAGACCCAGCACACCCUGCCUGCAUGGCGCUGCGCUGCACCUUCACUCUGGUCACGGGUCUGGCAGUCAGCUCACCAAUUCCUCCUGCUUCCCUGGGACUUGCCGGCUUUUAGCACUGCAAUUCACUCAGCAAACUGGGACUGUUGGUCACCCUACCUGGCAGCCAGUGAUAAGGUGAGGGCCACUCCUGGGAGGGAGGACACCUGUGGGGAAAAUUCUUGUGUUAUUUAUUUCUCCUUCGGGAUAGGGUGCCUGCAGCGCUUCAUGGGAGGGGGUGGGCUGAUGCUGCGGGCUCAGAAGUUUCAAGGGCAUCUGGGGAGACCAGAUAUUCAGAGACCUUCUAGAUGUGCCUGUUCCAUGUAUCAGGGACGCAGGUUUUCCCAACAGGGCUGGUGUCAUUGGCAUGACAGACCUGCCUUGGCUGAGCGUUCACCUGUCUUUGGAGUUCAGCCACCUUAGCAAGUCCUGGGUUUGUUCUUCAGACUUUGCUGCUCGCCCAUUGCCUGGAUCGGGGGCUACUUUGUAAACCACCAGGAAGACUCCAGUGUUUCUGGUUAAUUUUUAGAUGUUUGUUAAUUGCUCUUGGUCUCUCAUUAAUCCCCUGUGGGUCAUCCAGGAAACAUACUCACCACUGUCUGUUCUCUGAGUUUUCAUUUCCAGGCAUCCGCCCUGCCUGGAUCUCCUCACCUGCCAGGAACUUCCUCUCCACAAGCCGGCCAUCCCAGCAAAAGUUCUAACACCAAAGGUCUGGCAACUAGCCUGCCAUCUUGUGCCUGGAGCCGCCUGCGUGCCACCUACUCCCGAAGAUGGGAACCUUGUUGCCAGUUGGGCAGAUGCGGGGCAAUCCUGUACCAAGACCCCAUUUUACCACCUGCUUUCUCAGACCACUCUGGAACCCACUGUCUCAGAUUGUGUCCUCCAGGAAGCAGACCAUGAGAGGGAGUUGGCAGGGCCAAAGAUUUACUGGGGCUAACUAACACUCAGGAAAGGGAUAGGAAGGAAACAGGGCUGGAGAGCAGGUUGAGCCCGACCUGACAGUCUCGAGCAGCCCAACAGGGAGGUGUGGAGCAAGGGUUGCCCACUAGAGGGGCCUGCAUUGGGUACGGGUGAUGGGGUCCACAUGGUACCUGGCAUAUAGCAGGCUGUGCAAUCCAUAUUAACUGACUGGAUAAAUUAAUGCCCAGAAAAGGUGCCCUGGAGAAUGGGUGUGUGCUGAACACAAUAGGGAAGGGCCCAGCAUCUGCCUUGGCAUAGGCAGAACUGUGCUGUGCCCUGCAACAGGCCACCUGAGAGCUGCUUUGAUCUUGUGUGUACAUUAGAUGACUGCCAGGGGCAUGAAGGGGAUGUGCUUCCAGGGCAUUUGCUGGCAGGGCGUCUCGUGAUCUCUUGGUAUUGGUGUGAGCACAGCCUGGCAGGAGAGGGCAGAUCUCCAUGCAAAGUAUGUCAGAAAGCAGAUGGAAGCCAGGCCCCCUCCUGAAAGAGGCUCCUUGAAGGCUCCUGGGACCACAUUAUCAUUCUCUUCACUCGAGAGAUGAGGACACUGAAAUUCAGAGAGGGGAAGUGAUUUGCCUCAGCUUGUACUAAAGAAACAUUUCAACAGAGAACCCAGUGGAAAUUAUGACAUGUUAUCUUCUCAGAGUCCUGAACUCCCAUCCCUACCUCAGAAGAGACUCCUCUGUUCACAGAAGCUAAAGGCAGUUCCUUCCCAAUGGCAACUAUGUUUGGAUGUUGGAUCUACACUUUCUCAAGCACUGUGAUCUUCAAAUACUGCCAUCCAGGGCCAUGCAGCAAACAAGCAACAGGGAAAUAUCCCACUAUGCAAUCCUAUUUUGAGAUGAUAUUUAGGAUGAGAGAACAUGCAUUAGUUACCUACCAGCUUGACAGGAAUGGAUUUCCAAAUCUGACACACCAUAGCCUGAAUUCUCACCAGUUUGCUCCUGGAAAGGCCCGCUCAUGCAUGAGCCCCUGCCACUCUUCUAAAUAAGCUUCCAGGCAUUACCUGCAUGCUGUGUUCCUGUGGUGGGAUGGCAGUAAUCUCUGCUAAGAUAAACGGGAGCUUCUGUGGAUAAAGCAUAAACGCAGUGAAGUGUGUGUGGCUGGAAGAUUUAAUGCCUCUACAGUGCUUAGAUACAAGUUGAGCUUGGAAUUCCAGAGGUAGAGCACUGCUGAUUGGAGACAUAUUAAGUAAAAUGUACUGUGGAAAUGAGAUAAAACCUUUAUUCUUGCUAAUGAUUGUCAUUGUAUGUAUUCAGGUGUCCAACAAAGGAUUUUAGAAUAAAGUGUGCCUUUAAAGUUUCCCACCUUCUUAAAGCUCCCAAUGAAUUGCAAAGGGCCUGUUUGGAAUGGACUGUAUUAAAUCUACUUCAAAUGAAA